Molecule: long non-coding RNA, 1546 nt
Organism: Episyrphus balteatus (marmalade hoverfly)
Lineage: Eukaryota; Metazoa; Arthropoda; Insecta; Diptera; Syrphidae
Exons: 2
Source: RefSeq, a predicted model, not a curated record
CAGGUUCCAUAAUAAUUAAUUAUACCUAUUUUGUCACAUUGUUCCUUCAUUUACAACCAUUUCUUUCAAUGCCAAAUAUCAAUCAGUAGAACUUCCUGUCACAUAUACUUAACUUAUAUCUAUACAUUCGGAUAUUAUUCGUAAUUAUGUAUGUUUCCAUACACACCACCAAUAUUUCGCUUCUAUAGUGACGUAGUAGGUAUAUGAAUUUUAUAUCUUCUCUGCAUGAACUCUCUUUCUCUCAUUGUCAAAAAGAUACACCCAACCAAGUGUUUUUUUUUUUUUUCUUUUUUUCAACAAGUAAAGAUAUAAAAUCCUGAAUAUUAAAACUGAACCCAAACGUUUUCUUCACAAAAAAAAGUAUCUUUAACAAGAAAAAAAAAAAAAAAGAUGGAAUAAAUUCUUUGUUUAAAUUAUACUUUCAUACAAAAAGAUACUUUAUCUACAUUCAUGAAGAUUGAGUGGAAACAAAAAAACUCACUCAACUUCACCAACACCAAGUGUUAAAGUAUUGAAGAUUCUGGGAUAAAAAGAUACGUUCCACAACUCAAUAGUUUGUAUAGUUUGCUAUUCGAUUUUAUAUCUUUAAUCUAAAUCCAACUCCAUCCACACCAAGCAAAUGAACCAAUCAACCCCACUCGAAAUACUCGACACUCAAGAGACCAAGACCAAAACCAAGAGUCCCAUACCCAUCAACCAGCCCGCACUAUCACACGCAUAGAAAGUCGACAAUAUGACGACUUUUGUAGUAGCUUAGCUAGUAGCGGUUUUUUGAAAUUUCUGUUUUGUUGUUGAUUUUAUACAAAAAGAUACCGAGAUACUCUACUGUACUUUAUGUUGUGUAUAAUUUUAUGGACUGCAUGUUGUUCAAACGACAAUAGUGUAUUUGUGACCGACAACGACAGCCACUUAACAAAAAAAAAAUCAGAAAAAAAGAACUCAAAGGCACGUUAUUCUUGUUGGUUUUGGUUGAAUGCCUGGCCGGCUUUAGUUGCUGCUGCUGAUUUUCAACUUCUCUCUACUCUACAAUACUUCGGGCGUUUUUCAUAGGGUUUUUUUCGCUCUCUCUCUCUCUCUUUUUUCUCUCUCAUUUCUUUUUGGUUUUCAUUUUCAUCACUUAUUUCAUUUUGUUCAAAAUGGAUUUAUACACACAUUGACAUUAUUUCUGAGAUACGGAUACGUGUUUAGUUCAUAGCAUAGUUAAACUGCUCAAACUUGGAUCGUUGCAUUUAAGUUUGAAUUUGGACGUUCAAGGGUGCGGAUUGACUUUUAAGUUUUUUCGUUUAAAAAAAAAAGAUAUCCUGAGACUUGACAAAAAAAGUUCGAAAGAGUGAAAAAUUAGAGAAGAAAUAUAAAGUAAACCCUUUUUUUUUAUCUAGAUUUUGGAUAAUUAUUGUGCUGCUGUUGUGCUAUCUACAUUUAAUUGUAUUUGUUGUUUAAACAAUUAAGUUGUCUGCAAAAUAGCUAUACACAUAUAUUUGGAUAAAAUAAUCCUAUGGGAUAUAAAUAAUAAAUAUACAAAGAAUUCUAUCUUGAAAAAAGGUAA